AUACGGAGGGGGCUAGCGUUGUUCGGAAUUACUGGGCGUAAAGCGCGCGUAGGCGGAUUGGUCAGUUAGGGGUGAAAUCCCAGGGCUUAACCCUGGAACUGCCUCUAAUACUGCCAGUCUUGAGUUCGGGAGAGGUGAGUGGAGUUCCUAGUGUAGAGGUGAAAUUCGUAGAUAUUAGGAAGAACACCAGUGGCGAAGGCGGCUCACUGGCCCGAUACUGACGCUGAGGCGCGAAAGCGUGGGGAGCAAACAGGAUUAGAAACCCCAGUAGUCC
Molecule: ribosomal RNA, 274 nt
Filed under: uncultured bacterium
Lineage: Bacteria
Description: partial 16S ribosomal RNA
Rfam family: Bacterial small subunit ribosomal RNA
Source: RNAcentral